GGGGAUGUAGCUCAAUGGUAGAGCACUUGCCUAGCAUGCUGGAGGCUCCAAGUUCCUCCCCA
RNAcentral lists this transfer RNA (62 nucleotides) under Marmota marmota marmota (Alpine marmot). It matches the Rfam family "tRNA". Rfam says of the family: Transfer RNA (tRNA) molecules are approximately 80 nucleotides in length. Their secondary structure includes four short double-helical elements and three loops (D, anti-codon, and T loops). Further hydrogen bonds mediate the characteristic L-shaped molecular structure. tRNAs have two regions of fundamental functional importance: the anti-codon, which is responsible for specific mRNA codon recognition, and the 3' end, to which the tRNAs corresponding amino acid is attached (by aminoacyl-tRNA synthetases). tRNAs cope with the degeneracy of the genetic code in two manners: having more than one tRNA (with a specific anti-codon) for a particular amino acid; and 'wobble' base-pairing, i.e. permitting non-standard base-pairing at the 3rd anti-codon position. Lineage: Eukaryota; Metazoa; Chordata; Mammalia; Rodentia; Sciuridae. RNAcentral also lists the same sequence under 1 other name. The record is from Rfam by way of RNAcentral.